Molecule: ribosomal RNA, 444 nt
Filed under: uncultured bacterium
Lineage: Bacteria
Description: partial 16S ribosomal RNA
Rfam family: Bacterial small subunit ribosomal RNA
Source: RNAcentral
GUAGGGAAUAUUGGGCAAUGGUCGGAAGACUGACCCAGCCAUGCCGCGUGCAGGAAGACGGCCCUCUGGGUUGUAAACUGCUUUUAUCUGGGAAGAAAAAGGCCAUGCGUGGCAAAUUGCCGGUACCAGAUGAAUAAGCACCGGCUAACUCCGUGCCAGCAGCCGCGGUAAUACGGAGGGUGCGAGCGUUGUCCGGAUUUAUUGGGUUUAAAGGGUGCGUAGGCUGCUGAUUAAGUCAGCGGUGAAAGACUUCGGCUUAACCGGAGCAGUGCCGUUGAUACUGGUUGGCUUGAGUGUCGGAGGGGUACAUGGAAUUGAUGGUGUAGCGGUGAAAUGCAUAGAUACCAUCAGGAACACCGAUAGCGAAGGCAUUGUACUGGCCGACAACUGACGCUGAUGCACGAAAGUGUGGGGAUCGAACAGGAUUAGAAACCCGUGUAGUCC